UUUGGGGAUGUAGCUCAGUGGUAGAGUGCUUGCCUAGCAUACUCAGAAACCUGGGUUCGAUUCCCAGAACCACAAAA
This 77-nucleotide transfer RNA is filed under the name Mus musculus (house mouse). Its description in RNAcentral is "tRNA-Ala". The record is from RNAcentral. Lineage: Eukaryota; Metazoa; Chordata; Mammalia; Rodentia; Muridae.